CCUACGGGUGGCAGCAGUGGGGAAUAUUGGACAAUGGGCGAAAGCCUGAUCCAGCCAUGCCGCGUGUGUGAAGAAGGCCUUCGGGUUGUAAAGCACUUUCAGUGGGGAAGAAAGCCUUGGGGCUAAUACCCUCGAGGAAGGACAUCACCCACAGAAGAAGCACCGGCUAACUCCGUGCCAGCAGCCGCGGUAAUACGGAGGGUGCGAGCGUUAAUCGGAAUUACUGGGCGUAAAGCGCGCGUAGGCGGUCUGAUAAGCCGGUUGUGAAAGCCCCGGGCUCAACCUGGGAACGGCAUCCGGAACUGUCAGGCUAGAGUGCAGGAGAGGAAGGUAGAAUUCCCGGUGUAGCGGUGAAAUGCGUAGAGAUCGGGAGGAAUACCAGUGGCGAAGGCGGCCUUCUGGACUGACACUGACGCUGAGGUACGAAAGCGUGGGUAGCAAACAGGAUUAGAUACCCGUGUAGUC
This 465-nucleotide ribosomal RNA is filed under the name Vreelandella stevensii. RNAcentral describes it as "partial 16S ribosomal RNA". It matches the Rfam family "Bacterial small subunit ribosomal RNA", at positions 338 to 795 of the family's 1533-position model. Lineage: Bacteria; Pseudomonadati; Pseudomonadota; Gammaproteobacteria; Oceanospirillales; Halomonadaceae. The record is from RNAcentral.